GACGAACGCUGGCGGCGUGCCUAAUACAUGCAAGUCGAGCGCAGGAAACUGACGGAACUCUUCGGAGGGAAGGCAGUGGAAUGAGCGGCGGACGGGUGAGUAACACGUAAGGAACCUGCCUCAAGGAUUGGGAUAACUCCGAGAAAUCGGAGCUAAUACCGGAUAGUUCAACGGACCGCAUGGUCCGUUGAUGAAAGGCGCUCCGGCGUCACCUUGAGAUGGCCUUGCGGUGCAUUAGCUAGUUGGUGGGGUAAAGGCUCACCAAGGCGACGAUGCACAGCCGACCUGAGAGGGUGAUCGGCAACACUGGGACGGAGACACGGCCCAGAAUCCUACGGGAGGCAGCAGUAGGGAAUCUUCCACAAUGGACGAAAGUCUGAUGGAGCAACGCCGCGUGAGUGAUGAAGGUUUUCGGAUCGUAAAACUCUGUUGUAAGGGAAGAACACGUACGAGAGGAAAUGCUCGUACCUUGACGGUACCUUACGAGAAAGCCACGGCUAACUACGUGCCAGCCGCCGCCGUAA
Molecule: ribosomal RNA, 524 nt
Filed under: uncultured bacterium
Lineage: Bacteria
Description: partial 16S ribosomal RNA
Rfam family: Bacterial small subunit ribosomal RNA
Source: RNAcentral